GAAGUCCAGAGAGGCAGCAGGCCUCGUGGUCCUUCCUUCUCGUUUCUAGCUGAGAAGAGUGGAGCUGGUUGGCUGGUGGCACAGGGACAAACGCCACCUUUGGCUCCCAGUGACAAUGAGUUAUCACGCAGGAGGGCCACAUCCAGGAGCUCGAACUGUAAAGUGAUGAACAGAACCCUCAGCUGCCCCAUGUUUCUCCCUCUAGAUGAAGAUGAACACAAUGAAGAUGGCUGGUGUCUCCAGCACCCAUCUUUGAAGCUUUCCCCGCACUCCACUGGGGCUGUGCAGAGGAGGAGCCAGCCCAGCAUUACUGUGUGUCUUCAUUUCACACACAUUGACGUGAAGAUGCUA
This is a long non-coding RNA of Aquila chrysaetos chrysaetos, 351 nucleotides long. RefSeq lists it as uncharacterized. NCBI's taxonomy places the organism in Eukaryota, Metazoa, Chordata, Aves, Accipitriformes, Accipitridae. The transcript is spliced from 3 exons. The record is from RefSeq and is a predicted model, not a curated record.